This is a non-coding RNA of Oryctolagus cuniculus (rabbit), 489 nucleotides long. Lineage: Eukaryota; Metazoa; Chordata; Mammalia; Lagomorpha; Leporidae. The record is from RefSeq and is a predicted model, not a curated record.
UGAACAGGGCACACACCGGUCUGUUCAGCUUCAGAUCCCAUCUCAGGUAACACACGUGAACAGGGUACACACCGGUCUGCUCAGCUUCAGAUCCCAUCUCAGGUAACACACGUGAUCAGGGCGCACACCGGUCUGCUCAGCUUCAGAUCCCAUCUCAGGUGACACACGUGAUCAGGGCACACACCGGUCUGCUCAGCUUCAGAUCCCAUCUCAGGUAACACACGUGAACAGGGCACACACCGGUCUGCUCAGCUUCAGAUCCCAUCUCAGGUAACACACGUGAACAGGGCGCACACCGGUCUGCUCAGCUUCAGAUCCCAUCUCAGGUAACACACGUGAUCAGGGCGCACACCGGUCUGCUCAGCUUCAGAUCCCAUCUCAGGUAACACACGUGAUCAGGGCACACACCGGUCUGCUCAGCUUCAGAUCCCAUCUCAGGUAACACGUGUGAACAGGGUACACACCGGUCUGCUCAGCUUCAGAUCCCAU